Molecule: long non-coding RNA, 473 nt
Filed under: Elaeis guineensis (African oil palm)
Lineage: Eukaryota; Viridiplantae; Streptophyta; Magnoliopsida; Arecales; Arecaceae
Description: long non-coding RNA (EGUI_LNC006906)
Source: RNAcentral
UUCCUGUCAGGAGGGCAGUCUGAAGUGGAAGCAACAUUAAAUUUGAAUGCUAUGAACCAAGGGCCUAACCCUUGGCAUGUCUCUUUUUCCUAUGCUCGAGCUCUUCAAAAUACGGUAUUGAAGACCUGGCAGGGGCUUCCAGAGAACGUGGAAGCUGCACAGAAAGCACUCUUGGUGCGUGCCAAGGCCAACUCUCUGGCUCAGCUUGGCUGCUACUCUGGCGAGGAUGAGAACGAGGAGGCUAAGAAAGGAAUGUUUGAAAAAGGCUACACCUACUAAAGCAGGUGACCAGCACCCUUCAUGGUUUCAUCUCUCACAAAUCAUAGUCUAGGUGGUUAUUAUGGAGUUUGGAGAGUUGUUUUGAGUAAACUAUUGUUUUGUUAGAUGGGCUAUAAAAUGACCACAAUAAGGACUCGCAGAGUCUGUUGUCUUCACUGGAGCAGUCAACUGCAACAGGACAGAAUAUGACUAUU